CUGGUGGGGGAAUUCAAAAGGCACUAUUCAUUCAGUACCUGGCCACUGCUUUAUCAUGUAUAGUCUAUGCUCAAAUGCCAUUGAGUUGAGAAGGGCAAAGCCAUAAAAGGAUAAGCUUGGGGCUCCCUCCAUCCAAAGGCAACAUGUGACCCAUGGUCUUUGUUCUUUCUUGACCAGGAGGAAGAAGAUUGGAGAGGGCUAUGAACUUGUGAGCUUCAAAAAGUCAGGAAAAUAUCUGGGAGCUGGAAUUCAUGCCAGGAUUCUGGAUUGGCCAAAAACUUUAUGGGCCCAUCAGCUUUUCCAGUGAACAAAGCUUAUCAGCAUGCUUUGUGACAUUAACAAAACCCAUCCAUUCUGCGGAAGACUAACUAGACCAAGAAAAAGCCAGCUGAUGUAACAUUAAGGGAAGUUCAAAGCUCUUCCCAGGCAUGACCCCAGCCAUCCUCAACACACCUUCGUGAAGCAGGCAGGUUGACAGCUAGCCUCCACAGUAUUUAGCCCCAAGGGGAAAUGAAGUAGCAAUAAGGUAAGUGGUCAUCUGGCAAGCCUGUGGCAAAAACAACAGAAAAAUCCAGAUUUACCAACUCCCAAGUCUAUGCUGUCAUACUCAGACUCAGUUUUUAUCUGAACUCACG
Molecule: long non-coding RNA, 635 nt
Filed under: Monodelphis domestica (gray short-tailed opossum)
Lineage: Eukaryota; Metazoa; Chordata; Mammalia; Didelphimorphia; Didelphidae
Description: lncRNA (ENSMODG00000046337.1)
Source: RNAcentral